Molecule: ribosomal RNA, 459 nt
Filed under: uncultured bacterium
Lineage: Bacteria
Description: partial 16S ribosomal RNA
Rfam family: Bacterial small subunit ribosomal RNA
Source: RNAcentral
CCUACGGGAGGCAGCAGUGAGGAAUAUUGGUCAAUGGCCGGAAGGCUGAACCAGCCAAGCCGCGUGAAGGACGAAGGUGCCAAGCAUUGUAAACUUCUUUUGUCAAGGGACAAAAUCAGGCUCGAGAGCCUGACCGAGGGUACUUGAAGAACAAGCAUCGGAUAACUCCGUGCCAGCAGCCGCGGUAAUACGGAGGAUGCGAGCGUUAUCCGGAUUUAUUGGGUUUAAAGGGGGCGUAGGCGGGCUGUUAAGUCAGCGGUAAAAGCCCGGGGCUCAACCCCGGCGAGCCGUUGACGCUGGCUGUCGUGAGAUGGCGAGAGGUAGGCGGAAUGCGCAGUGUAGCGGUGAAAUGCUUAGAUAUUGCGCAGAACUCCGAUUGCGAAGGCAGCAUACCGGCGGCGAUCUGACGCUGAGGCACGAAAGCGUGGGUAUCGAACAGGAUUAGAUACCCUUGUAGUC